AGUCUUCACAUCUCAGCCUUCCAAGUAGCUGUGACUAGAGCUUGUGACAGUCCAGCCCCUUCAGCCUGGAGUUCCACCUACCAGUCCCCACAUGUGCUGUCUCUCACCAAGGUUGCCAGUGACCUCCUACCAAAACAAUCUUUGGCUCCCCAUCACUGGCCUGUCCUAUGGGAAAACAUUUGCAUUCCUUAACUCAGCCUAGAAGGCCUCUGUGACUUGCUGUCUACUUAUCUGGCCCUUCUCAUGCUUCCUUUCUGGCUGUAGCAACCUUGAAGAUAUCGUACUUCCCCAAACCCACCUGCUGCUUCUUGCCUUUUUUCAUGCGGACUCCUCUGUCUGGAAUAUCUUCUACAUGCAGCAACCGUAACCCAACCUCCACACUGCAGAGAAGUGGCUCGUCUCAGGCCAAUUCCUGGUCAUCCUUUUAGAUUCAGCCCAGGCUGGGCGCGGUAGCUCAUGCCGGUAACCCCAGCACUUUGGGAGGCCGAGGCGGGCAGAUCACGAGGUCAGGAGUUCGAGACCAGCCUGGGCAACAUAGUGAAACCCUGUCUCUACUAAAAAUACAAAAAUUAGCCAGGCAUGGUGGUGCACGCUUGUAGUCCCAGCUACUUGGGAGGCUGAGGCAGGAGAAUCACUUGACCCCAGGAGGCAGAGGUGAGCUGAGAUCACGCCACUGCACUCCAGCCUAGGCAUCAGAGCAAUACUCCGUCUCAAAAAAGAAAGAUUCAGCCCAGUGUGAAGGUGUGAACCUCUUCUAGGACAUGAAAAGAUUCAGCCCAGGUGUGAACCUCUUCUAGGAGAUGCUCCUUUCCUAACUGCUUGAACCCCGGAUAGGAGUCCUAUUCUUUUUACUCCUAUAGUACUUUCUUU
This 870-nucleotide long non-coding RNA is filed under the name Pan troglodytes (chimpanzee). RNAcentral's name for it is "long non-coding RNA NONPTRT003803". The record is from RNAcentral. Lineage: Eukaryota; Metazoa; Chordata; Mammalia; Primates; Hominidae.